This 399-nucleotide ribosomal RNA is filed under the name uncultured bacterium. RNAcentral describes it as "bacterial SSU rRNA". It matches the Rfam family "Bacterial small subunit ribosomal RNA", at positions 102 to 520 of the family's 1533-position model. The record is from RNAcentral.
ACGGGUGAGUAACACGUGAGCAACCUGCCCCUGGCUCUGGGAUAGCUCCGGGAAACCGGGAUUAAUACCGGGCAUGACCUGCUGCGGCAUCGCGGCGGGUGGAAAGUUUUUUCGGCCGGGGAUGGGCUCGCGGCCUAUCAGCUUGUUGGCAGGGUGAUGGCCUACCAAGGCGACGACGGGUAGCCGGCCUGAGAGGGCGACCGGCCACACUGGGACUGAGACACGGCCCAGACUCCUACGGGAGGCAGCAGUGGGGAAUAUUGCGCAAUGGGCGGAAGCCUGACGCAGCGACGCCGCGUGCGGGAUAAAGGCCUUCGGGUUGUAAACCGCUUUCAGCAGGGACGAAUGUGACGGUACCUGCAGAAGAAGCGCCGGCUAACUACGUGCCAGCAGCCGCGG